CCUACGGGAGGCAGCAGUGGGGAAUAUUGCGCAAUGGGGGAAACCCUGACGCAGCAACGCCGCGUGAGUGAGGAAGGACUUCGGUCUGUAAAGCUCUGUUAAUGUGGAAAAAUGGUAGUUGGUCUAAUAGGCCGAUUAUUUGAUGGUACACAUAGAGGAAGCACCGGCUAACUUCGUGCCAGCAGCCGCGGUAAUACGAAGGGUGCAAGCGUUGUUCGGAUUUAUUGGGCGUAAAGCGCGCGUAGGCGGACCUGCAAGUCAGAUGUGAAAUCUCGGGGCUCAACCUCGAAACUGCGUCUGAAACUACAGGUCUAGAAUCUUGGAGGGGGAAGGGGAAUUUCUCAUGUAGGGGUAAAAUCCGUAGAUAUGAGAAGGAACACCAGAGGCGAAGGCGCCUUCCUGGACAAGUAUUGACGCUGAGGCGCGAAAGCGUGGGGAUCAAACAGGAUUAGAUACCCUGGUAGUCCACGCUGUAAACGAUGAAUACUAGAUAUUGCAGGAUUUGACCCCAGCAGUGUCGUAGCUAACGCGUUAAGUAUUCCGCCUGGGAAGUACGGUCGCAAGCUAAACUCAAAUGAUGAGNGNGAGAGNGCGACGACGACGACGAGGGAGGAGG
Molecule: ribosomal RNA, 616 nt
Filed under: uncultured bacterium
Lineage: Bacteria
Description: bacterial SSU rRNA
Rfam family: Bacterial small subunit ribosomal RNA
Source: RNAcentral